This 203-nucleotide long non-coding RNA is filed under the name Prunus persica (peach). RNAcentral's name for it is "long non-coding RNA (PPER_LNC006869)". The record is from RNAcentral. Lineage: Eukaryota; Viridiplantae; Streptophyta; Magnoliopsida; Rosales; Rosaceae.
UCGCACAUAAUUUCCGUCUUAAUACGAUAACGACAUCUCGUUAACCACUUGGUGGCGCACCAUGUUCGUUACUAAUGUUGGUUUUACUACUUAUAUCGACGAGAACAAGGGAAAUAUGAGAAACUAUAGAUUAAGGAAAAUGAUGAUUUGUUAUUUAACCAUAGAUUAAGGAAUAUGAUAUACUUUUCACAUAUAUCAUGCCG